AUCACCUAGGAAUCCUGUUAAAUUGCAUACUUUGAUUCAGAAGUUUUGGGGCUGGACCUGAAACUCUGCGUUUCUAACAAGUUCCCAGGUGCUGCUGA
This 98-nucleotide microRNA precursor is filed under the name Papio anubis (olive baboon). Its description in RNAcentral is "mir-544 microRNA precursor family". RNAcentral also lists the same sequence under 1 other name. Lineage: Eukaryota; Metazoa; Chordata; Mammalia; Primates; Cercopithecidae. The record is from Rfam by way of RNAcentral.